UUUUAUGGAGAGUUUGAUCCUGGCUCAGGAUGAACGCUGGCGGCGUGCCUAAUACAUGCAAGUCGAGCGAACAGACGAGGAGCUUGCUCCUCUGACGUUAGCGGCGGACGGGUGAGUAACACG
This 123-nucleotide ribosomal RNA is filed under the name Staphylococcus epidermidis. RNAcentral describes it as "partial 16S ribosomal RNA". It matches the Rfam family "Bacterial small subunit ribosomal RNA", at positions 1 to 117 of the family's 1533-position model. Lineage: Bacteria; Bacillati; Bacillota; Bacilli; Caryophanales; Staphylococcaceae. The record is from RNAcentral.